GCCAUCCUCUGACACCAUUAAGCUCUCAGCAGGUAGUAAGUCUGAAUUCUCUGCUGGUGUAAAUGAGCAGAGCUGCUUGAGCCCAUAGAUCUUUUCAAUGACUGGAUGGAACACAGAAGGAGAACCUUUGUCAAAGAUCAAUUAUUUCUUAAUCGUCUUUUCAAACGUAUCACAAGUUUACCUUAUCAAAGACACUAGGUGUGUAAUGGACCAAUCUAAAAAUGGACCAAGCUAAAAAUCACUGUUAAU
RNAcentral lists this long non-coding RNA (249 nucleotides) under Zonotrichia albicollis (white-throated sparrow). Its description in RNAcentral is "lncRNA (ENSZALG00000008436.1)". Lineage: Eukaryota; Metazoa; Chordata; Aves; Passeriformes; Passerellidae. The record is from RNAcentral.